AAAAAGACAAACCCUGGAUUUCCGUAUCCAACGUUUGACCGUCCGUCUUAUUUAAAAAAUUUAUGAAAAAAAUUAAAAAAGAUAAGUCACUUAUAAAAUAUUAAUCAUGUUUUAUUAUCGAACAACAAUAAAAAUACUAAUUAUAAAAAANCGAACAACAAUAAAAAUACUAAUUAUAAAAAAUUUCAUAUAAGACGAACAGUCGAACGUUGGACACGGAAACUCAGGUUUGUCUUUUUU
Non-coding RNA from Oryza glumipatula, 240 nucleotides. The record is from Rfam. Lineage: Eukaryota; Viridiplantae; Streptophyta; Magnoliopsida; Poales; Poaceae.